This 2096-nucleotide long non-coding RNA is filed under the name Homo sapiens (human). RNAcentral's name for it is "HSALNT0163234". The record is from RNAcentral. Lineage: Eukaryota; Metazoa; Chordata; Mammalia; Primates; Hominidae.
CUCAGCCUUCAUAACUGUGAAAAAAUAAAUUCUAUUUUUUAUUAUUCUAAAGAAUAAUUCUUUUCGUUAUAUGUUACCCAGUCUUAGAUAUUCUGUUACAGUAGCACAAAGUGCACUAAGCUGUGUAGAUAGAAGCUGUAUUUUAGGGCUGACUGAAACUCUGAGGAUUUAUUUUAAGAUAGAAAAAAGUAGACUUGUUGACAAUUUGGAUAUGAGCUUUGAGAAAAAGGGAAGCGUCAAAAGUACUUCUUAAAUUAUUGGCUGGCCAAAUGAGGAAAAGGAGGUUGUGGAGGGGAAUUGAGAUAGAGGAAGUGAAUAAAGAUUUCAGUUUGGGAUAUAUUAACUUUGGGAAAUUUUUGAGACAUCCAGUUGGAGAUGUUGAGUAGGCAAUUGGCUCUACAAAUUUAUAUUCAGGGAUAGGUUAGGACACAUGUGGUAUGGAUAUGAUACAUCUUUCACUCAUUUUCUAUUAAGAGAAUUUUGAAAAUGGAUGCUUCUGAGUUGAGUUGGGAAACCAUCUCUUUUAACCCCUAAGCUAAGUCUUGCUACCAUUAGAAAAAUGUGUUUUCCAGUUAUGCUUUCUUCAGAAGAUUAGCAGAUAACUGAUGUCUUUUGAAAAGUUUAAAUGGUAAAUAACUUUUAAAAAUAUGGUGCCUGUAUUGUCUGGAAACAUUUAAAAACAGAGAAAAGAAAAACACUAAAUUCAGAUGGAAUCUUGCCACAUAGAAAUAAUCACUACUGAUAUUUCUGUAUAUAUUCCACUUUUUUGUAUGCAUAUUUACAAAUCAGAGACACACUUGAAAUAAAACAAAGAAAUGAUAGAUGCUUGAGGUGAUGGAUAUCUCAAUUACCCUGAUUUGAUCAUUACACAUUGUUUGCUUGUAUCAUAAUAUCACAUGUGCCCCAUAAAAAUGUAUAACUAUUAUGUGUUCAUGAUAAAGAUGCAACCAUGCUAUUUGCUACGGUUCUUAACUUUGCACUUUUUUUUCCCCAAAAGUCAAUGCUAAAAACCAAAAACCCAAAAAACCCACCAAAAAACCAAACCAAGUCAAUAUGCAAUCUCACAUUUCUGUAUAAUUAAAUAAGAGCCUAAGGUCUGGAUGAUUCUUUACUUUUAACAAGAACUCCAGGUAAUUAAUAUGAUCAACCUCAACUUCAGCUUUUUUCCUGAUGACUGCAUAUUAUUUAAAAACAAAACCAAACCCUGCUAUUUGUUUCUUCUUUCAGGUUAAAUUAUUCCAAGUGAUUCCAAUUAAGCAAUCCUCAUGUGUAUCUCUUUAAGCUGUGACCAGGAAGAUCUAAGAAGGUUCUAUGGCAUUUUGGAACUUUUCUCCCUGACUUGAUUGUAUUUGAAGUUUUGCCAAAAUGAAAAAUCAAGACCUGUGCCUUGGGGCAGAGCUGUAGAGCUACGUCAUGACGCUUGGUUUUCAUUUAAGACAGGGAGGCCAUUCUGGAAAUCAAACUUUAAUUAAGCACACAGCUGGGAGUGGAUAGGGGUCAAAGCCUGGAACUUGCCCCUCCUCCUCAUACUACUAUCCCAGGUGAGAUGUAUUUUCCUGGUAUGAUCCCCAUUGCUGGCAUGCCUGAACCUUUCCCCAGAUAAUUUCAGAAAGUGGCCUGUGAUGCAUGUUCUAAGGUAGGAUUUAUCUAAUUUCUUUUGAAUUGGUGAAGAUUGUAUUGGGAACUAGGGUUAGACUGUUUCUAACCUCAGGAGAGUCACUUCCAUACUGUUCCAGCUGAUAGCAAACACUGAUAACAAUUUCAAAGGAGGAAAAUAAAUGUUUAAAUGGCAGUAACGUAGAAAAGUGCCUUGGUUUCAAAACAUGUUGAUAACUACUGCUCCUUUGUUAUUCAGUUUUGCCCUCUAUAAAAGUCUGCUAUUAUUUCUAGCGCUGUUUCCUGAGUAGUUUUCUAGUCAAGCAAUAUGAGGGAUUAAAAUGGUGCCUGGGGCGGGGGUGGAGGGGAGGGCAGGGGUGGGGGAGUCAAGCUGAAGUUUCAGUACCCAAGUCUCAUUGUACUUUGCUAGGAAUACCUAUGGCAUUAAAGUAGGAGAUUUUCUUUUCUUUUCUUUUCUUUUUUUUUGAGAUGGAGUCUCG